Molecule: long non-coding RNA, 237 nt
Organism: Oncorhynchus keta (chum salmon)
Lineage: Eukaryota; Metazoa; Chordata; Actinopteri; Salmoniformes; Salmonidae
Exons: 4
Source: RefSeq, a predicted model, not a curated record
UAGAGUGUAGGGACGGCAGGUAGCCUAGCGGUUAGAGUGUAGGGACGGCAGGUAGCCUAGCGGUUAGAGUGUAGGGACGGCAGGUAGCCUAGCGGUUAGAGUGUAGGGACGGCAGGUAGCCUAGCGGUUAGAGUGUAGGGACGGCAGGUAGCCUAGCGGUUAGAGUGUAGGGACGGCAGGUAGCCUAGCGGUUAGAGUGUAGGGACGGCAGGUAGCCUAGCGGUUAGAGUGUAGGGA